AGCUCAGUUUAAUUUAAACAAGAAGUCUCUGUUUAAAAAAACAGGCCAAAGACAAACACUGACCUGCUGUUUUUCAAAUGCAUGGAUAAGAUUUGUAAUCUUUUUUAUAUUUUUUUUAUAACAUUUGAUUCUUUCUGCUGGAAUGAUUUUAUAAAUACUCUUAACUUUGAAUCCACAUUUUUGAUCACAAUCUGUAACAAAAGGCUCUACAGCCUAAUAUUUUCAGCUAUACUUUAAGAAGUUGAGGUAUUUAAGUUCGUCCAUUUUGGUAAAAUAUUUAUUUUUCAAACUACAAGUUUGAGAGUAAGAAAAAUAUCAUUAAGCAUGAUAACCUAGAUCACAGUAUUGCAGCAGCCUAUUAAAUAUUCUCUAAAUAUUUUAGCACACACUUUAUGAACUAGAGAUUUAACUUCUUAUCAUAUUUUGUCUGUGCCUUUAACCUUUACACCAUUUUUGGGGGCCUUUUCAACUUUAUUUGACAGACACAGUGAAGAAAGGAGAGGAAAGCAGGGAGAGAGAGAGAGAGAGGAAAACAUGCAGCAGAGGGCCGCGGGUCGGACUCAAACCCGGCCCGGCCACUGUAAGCUGUAUGGGAUGUGGUCACCCGCUCAAUGCACUGACCUAAACUGGUGCCUUACUCUAUACACUACUAACUCAUAACCUAUAGCCCAAUAACCUUUACUUUGGUAAGUAAUAUCUGUGAACAUGUCUGCAACAAAGUAAAUAAAGAUGAUGUAAUUAUUAGAAAAUUAUUCUUCUGCAGAUCUGUGUCCCUCUGUAAAAUACAAACUGCAUGACUGUGUAUUUGUAGCUUAGUUGCUAUAUAAAACCACUCAAAUUCACAUCUACAUUUUCACAUAUUUUUACACAAAAGGCACUUUCAGAAUAUCCUUGAUGAGAUGCUGGGCAGUAAAGAAAAAGGACAAACUGAAUACCUGUUAAAAUUCUACCUACAUACAUAUAAAGUUUGACAUCAGCUUUUAAAAUAAUUACUAAUAAAUUAAAAGCUCACAGACUGGAUGUCUACUUGUUUUCCACUUUGUACCAUAAUUAGACAGAGACGAGGUAAAGUUUAAAGCAAGAAUAUGAUCACAGCUAUUAAAGCUGCAUGAACCCUGAGUCGCCUACAUUUUAAAUGACCUGCAAAAAUCAAAUUAUUUUUGCUCCGGCUGAACAAAGACGAUAGGAAGCUCAUAUCUUGUGACAAGAAGGGAGCACGGGGCGUGUGGGACAGAAGCUGAUAAUGAAUUACACAGUAGUAUUCGUAUGCCAAUUUAUAAGACACACGCUCAGAGCUACAAGAGCAGUUUUAAUACAACGAUGUAGCAGCGGAUGAAGUUGAAAACUGUUUUAUACUUUUCCAAACAAUGUUUGCAUAUUAAAAACACUCAACAUUUAUAUUUUACUUAAAAUAUUUGUUUUGUGAAGACAGGCUACAGCUCAGGCUGCGGCAUGAAACACUAAGAGUGUAUACGUCUCCAAGGGGAGCUCUUAGGAGGCUUCUUUUGACUGUGACAUUUCCUUGAAUGACAGAGAGAUCCUCUGGGUUACACUGUCAUGGCUAAAGGUUAAUGCUAUCGCCUGUUCUGGCCACAGUAACGCCACCCAGAAGACACACACACUGUAGUUACGCUUUACACUCACUGACACAUCAAAUCGUUGCAAUGGUUUGUUGAAACAUUAACACGCAGGCAUAUUGAGAUUAAACAUGUAUGUACAUACAGAUUUGGUGAUCUUUGUACAUAAAUAAGCUUCGGUGUGCAACAUGAGUGCUGGCGUACUGCUUCGCGUGCUUUCCUGAAUAACUUCUGACCUCUGCUUCACACAUGCUGCCCUGGGACACUCCUCCAGCUUAGUGCCACAACACAUAAAAAAGACUGGACACCAUAUUGUACGUGAGAAAAGGAAAACUAACACGAAAAAUAGUGAAUGUAUGUACUGUAUGUACAGCAACACACAAAUAUAGUGGACGCAAUUUGUCUGGGUGGGUGGAAGCAGAUCAACCUUGCAUCGCAACCUUCACUGCUUCACUUUAGUGACCCUUGCCUUUCCCACAGGAGUCCACAUACCUACACAAGCACACGCAGGUGGACAAACACCCCUCCAGCUCUGCACAGCAAAGGGAUUUUGCUGUCCUGGGGGUUGAAUACAGCCAGCUGGACAAAUAGUGUGUCCACAUGUUUACUCUCACACAAAAGUCAAACACGUGUAUAGACUUGCGUGCAUAUAAAUGAAUGUGAAUGUCGCUACAGCUCUGGAUGUUAUAAAAAGGAAAAAAAACCAUUAAUACAGCACUAAGACAAUAUCGUGAGCUGUGCUGUCACAUUCAGUUUUUCGAGUAUUUCCAGUGUUUGUUAAAAGAUAAAAUACUGUGUUUUAAAGCAGCCAUGUCAUUAUUUUUUCGGUCUUUACACAUGAAAGCCUCUUAUAUUAGUACGUCAAUACUUGACUCUGGAUAUAUCCAGAAUGGAUCUUGAGCGUAGCGCAAACAACAUGGAAACCUUGCAAAACCUUUCACACGGUCAUGUAAUUCUAUAAACAGGUUUUGCAAAUCCCCCACUUUUCACAACUCUACAGGCCACACAGAUGAGGGUUAUUUUACUCAUGUUGUUUAGCUGCUGCUGUCUGAAGCUAACAUCCUGGGACAGAGGUUGACUGCUAUCACAUAUACUCAAGAUAAGCUGCCAGCUGAAGCGGAUAGCUUCACUCGGCUCAGCGAGAUGAUUGCUGUUUUAAAUAAACAGAAACGAGCUGCGACACACCUGUGAGUAACUGGAGGAACUUCAAGACGUCCAGGGUAUGUGGAGCAGAUGAUUGAGGUGUCAGUAGUACAUAAAGUACCUAUAAUUACACUUAAUUCUGUCUUUUGUCUUUUGUUUUCUGCUGGCAGGAAAGCCUCUUAUCCCAACAACGAUGUUUGGAUCGACACCUGGAAUGGCAGGCGAGCUCAGGAGCUGUAUGGAGUCACAUGUCCUUUCUUGUGUCCAGAGUGUGAAGCAGAUUAAAUGAACUGUCAUCGAUCGA
Molecule: long non-coding RNA, 3024 nt
Organism: Oreochromis niloticus (Nile tilapia)
Lineage: Eukaryota; Metazoa; Chordata; Actinopteri; Cichliformes; Cichlidae
Exons: 2
Source: RefSeq, a predicted model, not a curated record